GGAAGUAAAAGUCGUAACGAGGUUUCCGUAGGUGAACCUGCGGAAGGAUCAUUCAUAAUAAGUGUUUUAUGGCACUUUUUUAAAUCCAUAUCCACCUUGUGUGCAAUGUCAGGGUUGAUUUUUCUCUCGAGAGGAUCAACCCCAAACAUCAACUAUAUCUCAACUCUUUGUCUGAAAAAUAUUAUGAAUAAAACAAUUCAAAAUACAACUUUCAACAACGGAUCUCUUGGCUCUC
RNAcentral lists this unclassified non-coding RNA (235 nucleotides) under plant metagenome. RNAcentral describes it as "partial contains small subunit ribosomal RNA, internal transcribed spacer 1, and 5.8S ribosomal RNA". The stretch from base 1 to 54 matches the Rfam family "Eukaryotic small subunit ribosomal RNA", at positions 1778 to 1831 of the family's 1831-position model. The record is from RNAcentral.